AAUCUCAUAGGAGUUAGGAUGAAGAAGCUAUCCCACUUUCAAAUCAGAUGAUCCCAGUUUUCCUGUUUGGGAAUAUGACAACUUCUUUAUCAUUCUAAUCAAACCAGGAAGAAUUGGGGUGUAAGAAGCUUGAUUUUGAUACAUAAAGUAGUGGAGAAUCAUUAGGAAGUGGAAAAAAUCUCACAGGAGUUAGGAUGAAGAAGCUAUCCCACUUUCAAAUCAGGUGAUCCCAGUUUUUCUGUUUAGGAAUAUGACAACUUCUUUGUCAUCCUAAUCAAAACAGGAAGAAUCGCGAUGUAAGAAGCUUGAUUUUUAUACAUAAAGUAGUGGAGAAUCAUUAGGAAGUGGAAUAAAUCUCAUAGGAGUUAGGAUGAAGAAGCUAUCACACUUUCAAAUCAGGUGAUCCCAGUUUUCCUGUUUGGGAAUAUGACAAUUUCUUCGUCAUUCUAAUCAAACCAGGAUGAAUCGCGAUGUAAGAAGCUUGAUUUUGAUACAUAAAGUAGUGGAGAAUCAUUGGGAAGUGGAAAAAAUCUCAUAGGAAUUAUGAUGAAGAAGCUAUCACACUUUCAAAUCAGGUGAUCCCAGUUUUCCUGUUUGGGAAUAUGACAACUUCUUUGUCAUUCUAAUCAAAACAGGAAGAAUCGCCAUGUAAAAAGCUUGAUUUUGAUACGUAAAGUAGUGGAGAAUCAUUAGGAAGUGAAAUAAAUUUCAUAGGAGUUAGGAUGAAGAAGCUAUCCCACUUUCAAAUCAGGUGAUCCCAGUUUUCCUGUUUGGGAAUAUGACAACUUCUUUGUCAUUCUAAUCAAACCAGGAAGAAUCGCGAUGUAAGAAGCUUGAUUUUGAUACAUAAAGUAGUGGAUAAUCAUUAGGAAGUGGAAUAAAUCUCCUAGGAAUUAGGAUGAAGAAGCUAUCACACUUUUAAAUCAGGUGAUCCCAGUUUUCCUGUUUGGGAAUAUGACAACUUCAUUGUCAUUCUAAUCAAACCAGGAAGAAUCGCGAUGUAAGAAGCUUGAUUUUG
This 1018-nucleotide long non-coding RNA is filed under the name Brassica napus (rape). RNAcentral's name for it is "long non-coding RNA (BNAP_LNC021247)". The record is from RNAcentral. Lineage: Eukaryota; Viridiplantae; Streptophyta; Magnoliopsida; Brassicales; Brassicaceae.